GAUGAACGCUGGCGGCGUGCCUAAUACAUGCAAGUCGAGCGAACAGACGAGGAGCUUGCUCCUCUGACGUUAGCGGCGGACGGGUGGGUAACACGUGGAUAACCUACCUAUAAGACUGGGAUAACUUCGGGAAACCGGAGCUAAUACCGGAUAAUAUAUUGAACCGCAUGGUUCAAUAGUGAAAGACGGUUUUGCUGUCCCUUAUAGAUGGAUCCGCGCCGCAUUAGCUAUUUGGUAAGGUAACGGCUUACCAAGGCGACGAUGCGUAGCCGACCUGAGAGGGUGAUCGGCCACACUGGAACUGAGACACGGUCCAGACUCCUACGGGAGGCAGCAGUAGGGAAUCUUCCGCAAUGGGCGAAAGCCUGACGGAGCAACGCCGCGUGAGUGAUGAAGGUCUUCGGAUCGUAAAACUCUGUUAUUAGGGAAGAACAAAUGUGUAAGUAACUAUGCACGUCUUGACGGUACCUAAUCAGAAAGCCACGGCUAACUACGUG
This 497-nucleotide ribosomal RNA is filed under the name uncultured bacterium. RNAcentral's name for it is "partial 16S ribosomal RNA". It matches the Rfam family "Bacterial small subunit ribosomal RNA", at positions 28 to 507 of the family's 1533-position model. The record is from RNAcentral.